RNAcentral lists this ribosomal RNA (114 nucleotides) under Lepisosteus oculatus (spotted gar). The record is from RNAcentral. Lineage: Eukaryota; Metazoa; Chordata; Actinopteri; Semionotiformes; Lepisosteidae.
AUUAGCAGCCAUAUCACCCUGCAACUCACAACUGGCAUCCCACUGAAGCAGGAGUGAGCCUGGUUGGUACCUGGAUGGGAGACCUCCUGGGAAAAACUAAGGUUGCUGCUGGAA